CUCUCUUUUAACAGGGUUAAGAAAAACAAGAAAGAACGGUUUUAAGGCAAUACUAGAUGCUGGCAAACCAGAGUUAUUUACUGCAAGCUGAAGGACUGAUUGGUUUCACACAUAAAGGGCAGACAAAGUUGGCUGCAGAAGAACCACGUCAUGCCUUGACAUUCAGGACCUGAGUUGUCUGCUUCUUUGCUUCACCUUCCGUGCAGAAAAAGCAGGGCUGCCAGAUGCUGCAAUCGCUUACACCUCUUCCAUCCUUGUGUUUGGGACUUCCAAGCUCCUGAGACUCCCAGUCGAAUAUGUCCCAGUCUGAGCUGAGACAAGCUCUGUUAUGACUCCAGCUCAUAAGAGGUGCCUACAUCCAGUCUGGAUUUCCUCGGUGUCCCAGUCUUCUGUGUGCGAUCACAUCACACCCAGCAUGGACAGCCAGCACUGACAGAGCUGGAGGGAGAGGUUCCACCUGCAUCUUCCACAAAAUCCUCAGGCAAAAUUUGCAAAGAGACGGUUGUAAGCCUUUCUGAUUCUGGAGGGGUUUAUCACCCUAGUUCCUACUUCCC
Molecule: long non-coding RNA, 554 nt
Filed under: Dromaius novaehollandiae (emu)
Lineage: Eukaryota; Metazoa; Chordata; Aves; Casuariiformes; Dromaiidae
Description: lncRNA (ENSDNVG00000019027.1)
Source: RNAcentral